This 484-nucleotide ribosomal RNA is filed under the name uncultured bacterium. RNAcentral's name for it is "partial 16S ribosomal RNA". It matches the Rfam family "Bacterial small subunit ribosomal RNA", at positions 30 to 507 of the family's 1533-position model. The record is from RNAcentral.
AUUGAACGCUGGCGGCAGGCCUAACACAUGCAAGUCGAGCGGAUGAAGGGAGCUUGCUCCUGGAUUCAGCGGCGGACGGGUGAGUAAUGCCUAGGAAUCUGCCUGGUAGUGGGGGAUAACGUCCGGAAACGGGCGCUAAUACCGCAUACGUCCUGAGGGAGAAAGUGGGGGAUCUUCGGACCUCACGCUAUUAGAUGAGCCUAGGUCGGAUUAGCUAGUUGGUGAGGUAAAGGCGUACCAAGGCGACGAUCCGUAACUGGUCUGAGAGGAUGAUCAGUCACACUGGAACUGAGACACGGUCCAGACUCCUACGGGAGGCAGCAGUGGGGAAUAUUGGACAAUGGGCGAAAGCCUGAUCCAGCAAUGCCGCGUGUGUGAAGAAGGUCUUCGGAUUGUAAAGCACUUUAAGUUGGGAAGAAGGGCAGUGAGUUAAUACCUUGCUGUUUUGACGUUACCAAAAGAGUAAGCACCGGCUAACUUCGUG